Molecule: long non-coding RNA, 536 nt
Organism: Suricata suricatta (meerkat)
Lineage: Eukaryota; Metazoa; Chordata; Mammalia; Carnivora; Herpestidae
Exons: 3
Source: RefSeq, a predicted model, not a curated record
GUGAUUGACCCGCAGUGCAGGGUCGGGGGAAGGGGAGGUGAAACAGAAAGGAGUGAUAACCGGGCAGACAGAGGGUAACUGUCGUCAGGAAGCACCCGGGCUGGCCAGGAGCAGUCACCACCCCUUCCUUCCCGAGGCGCGCGGGACCGUGGAGGAGGCAGAGCUGGGAUACGAACCAGGGACCCGUGGCUCUCGGCCCGCACUGCGCCUGGAUGAGGAAAACGUAUAUUUGAACCAGGCUUUGAAAACCGAGAAGGGUUUGAUGAGUGGCAAUAACUGAGCGAGCUCAGCCCUAAUCGCCCGUGGGAAGACUUUUUCUUUUUUUAUAGGCUACACUUUCCUCCACAGUAAAAAAUGGCUGGACUUAGGAAAACUAAUUACUAAUAUGUCCACCUCCUAGCAAAUGUUUGGAAUGAACAUGAGAAAUGUGCUUCUGAGUAUUUUAUUGAGGCCUCACGACAACCAGUCAUGCCUUUGGUCAUUUCAGCUGAUCACCUUGAAGUCAGUUAGCCGGCAUUCAAAGGAAAUAGUCCCCC